RNAcentral lists this ribosomal RNA (253 nucleotides) under uncultured bacterium. RNAcentral describes it as "partial 16S ribosomal RNA". It matches the Rfam family "Bacterial small subunit ribosomal RNA", at positions 524 to 776 of the family's 1533-position model. The record is from RNAcentral.
UACGGAGGGGGCUAGCGUUGUUCGGAAUUACUGGGCGUAAAGCGCGCGUAGGCGGCUUUGUAAGUUAGAGGUGAAAGCCCGGAGCUUAACUCCGGAACUACCUUUAAGACUGCAUCGCUAGAAUUGUGGAGAGGUAAGUGGAAUUCCGAGUGUAAAGGUGAAAUUCGUAGAUAUUCGGAAGAACACCAAUGGCGAAAACGACUCACUAAACACAUAUUGACGCUGAGGUGCGAAAGCGUGGAGAGCAAACAGG